Molecule: transfer RNA, 72 nt
Filed under: Saccostrea cuccullata (small rock oyster)
Lineage: Eukaryota; Metazoa; Mollusca; Bivalvia; Ostreida; Ostreidae
Description: Saccostrea cucullata (small rock oyster) tRNA-Asp
Source: RNAcentral
AGAGCGAUUAGUAUAAGUGAGUACCUUGGCUUGUCAUGCCAAAAGUGCGUCAAUCUGUGGCGUAUCGCUCUG